MicroRNA precursor from Carassius auratus (goldfish), 64 nucleotides. Ensembl annotates it as microRNA 148. Its record names the gene dre-mir-148. The record is from Ensembl. Lineage: Eukaryota; Metazoa; Chordata; Actinopteri; Cypriniformes; Cyprinidae.
AGUAAAGUUCUGUGAUACACUCCGACUCUAAUUGCUUGCAGUCAGUGCAUUACAGAACUUUGUU